This 71-nucleotide transfer RNA is filed under the name Metschnikowia continentalis. RNAcentral describes it as "tRNA-Trp". It matches the Rfam family "tRNA". Rfam says of the family: Transfer RNA (tRNA) molecules are approximately 80 nucleotides in length. The record is from RNAcentral. Lineage: Eukaryota; Fungi; Ascomycota; Pichiomycetes; Serinales; Metschnikowiaceae. RNAcentral also lists the same sequence under 27 other names.
AAGAGUAUCACUUAAUGGUAAAGUCCAUGUCUUCAACACAUGUUAUAGUAGUUCGAUUCUACUUGCUCUUG